UAAGACGGAGGGGGCUAGCGUUGUUCGGAAUGACUGGGCGUAAAGCGCGCGUAGGCGGUUCGGUAAGUUGGAUGUGAAAGCCCGGGGCUUAACCCCGGAUGUGCGUUCAAGACUGCCGAACUUGAGACCGGAAGGGGAGAGCGGAAUUCCCAGUGUAGAGGUGAAAUUCGUAGAUAUUGGGAAGAACACCGGUGGCGAAGGCGGCUCUCUGGUCCGGUUCUGACGCUGAGGCGCGAAAGCGUGGGGAGCAAACAGGAUUAGAUACCCUGGUAGUCCACUGCUGUAAACGAUGAGCGCUAGAUGUCGGGGGGCUUGCCCCUCGGUGUCGCAGCUAACGCAUUAAGCGCUCCGCCUGGGAAGUACGGCCGCAAGGUUA
This 376-nucleotide ribosomal RNA is filed under the name uncultured bacterium. Its description in RNAcentral is "bacterial SSU rRNA". It matches the Rfam family "Bacterial small subunit ribosomal RNA", at positions 521 to 896 of the family's 1533-position model. The record is from RNAcentral.